This 880-nucleotide ribosomal RNA is filed under the name Bacillus zhangzhouensis. Its description in RNAcentral is "bacterial SSU rRNA". It matches the Rfam family "Bacterial small subunit ribosomal RNA", at positions 28 to 890 of the family's 1533-position model. Lineage: Bacteria; Bacillati; Bacillota; Bacilli; Caryophanales; Bacillaceae. The record is from RNAcentral.
GGCUAAGGCGCUAGGCGGCGUGCCUAUACAUGCAGUCGAGCGGACAGAAGGGAGCUUGCUCCCGGAUGUUAGCGGCGGACGGGUGAGUAACACGUGGGUAACCUGCCUGUAAGACUGGGAUAACUCCGGGAAACCGGAGCUAAUACCGGAUAGUUCCUUGAACCGCAUGGUUCAAGGAUGAAAGACGGUUUCGGCUGUCACUUACAGAUGGACCCGCGGCGCAUUAGCUAGUUGGUGGGGUAAUGGCUCACCAAGGCGACGAUGCGUAGCCGACCUGAGAGGGUGAUCGGCCACACUGGGACUGAGACACGGCCCAGACUCCUACGGGAGGCAGCAGUAGGGAAUCUUCCGCAAUGGACGAAAGUCUGACGGAGCAACGCCGCGUGAGUGAUGAAGGUUUUCGGAUCGUAAAGCUCUGUUGUUAGGGAAGAACAAGUGCGAGAGUAACUGCUCGCACCUUGACGGUACCUAACCAGAAAGCCACGGCUAACUACGUGCCAGCAGCCGCGGUAAUACGUAGGUGGCAAGCGUUGUCCGGAAUUAUUGGGCGUAAAGGGCUCGCAGGCGGUUUCUUAAGUCUGAUGUGAAAGCCCCCGGCUCAACCGGGGAGGGUCAUUGGAAACUGGGAAACUUGAGUGCAGAAGAGGAGAGUGGAAUUCCACGUGUAGCGGUGAAAUGCGUAGAGAUGUGGAGGAACACCAGUGGCGAAGCGACUCUCUGGUCUGUAACUGACGCUGAGGAGCGAAAGCGUGGGGAGCGAACAGGAUUAGAUACCCUGGUAGUCCACGCCGUAAACGAUGAGUGCUAAGUGUUAGGGGGUUUCCGCCCCUUAGUGCUGCAGCUAACGCAUUAAGCACUCCGCCUGGGGAGUACGGUCGCA